RNAcentral lists this ribosomal RNA (550 nucleotides) under uncultured bacterium. Its description in RNAcentral is "bacterial SSU rRNA". It matches the Rfam family "Bacterial small subunit ribosomal RNA", at positions 355 to 896 of the family's 1533-position model. The record is from RNAcentral.
UAGGGAAUCUUCGGCAAUGGGGGCAACCCUGACCGAGCAACGCCGCGUGAGUGAAGAAGGUUUUCGGAUCGUAAAGCUCUGUUGUAAGUCAAGAACGAGUGUGAGAGUGGAAAGUUCACACUGUGACGGUAGCUUACCAGAAAGGGACGGCUAACUACGUGCCAGCAGCCGCGGUAAUACGUAGGUCCCGAGCGUUGUCCGGAUUUAUUGGGCGUAAAGCGAGCGCAGGCGGUUUGAUAAGUCUGAAGUUAAAGGCUGUGGCUCAACCAUAGUUCGCUUUGGAAACUGUCAAACUUGAGUGCAGAAGGGGAGAGUGGAAUUCCAUAUGUAGCGGUGAAAUGCGUAGAUAUAUGGAGGAACACCGGUGGCGAAAGCGGCUCUCUGGUCUGUAACUGACGCUGAGGCUCGAAAGCGUGGGGAGCGAACAGGAUUAGAUACCCUGGUAGUCCGCGCCGUAAACGAUGAGUGCUAGGUGUUGGAUCCUUUCCGGGAUUCAGUGCCGCAGCUAACGCAUUAAGCACUCCGCCUGGGGAGUACGACCGCAAGGUUG